Molecule: long non-coding RNA, 7228 nt
Organism: Lytechinus pictus (painted urchin)
Lineage: Eukaryota; Metazoa; Echinodermata; Echinoidea; Temnopleuroida; Toxopneustidae
Exons: 3
Source: RefSeq, a predicted model, not a curated record
CGUACGCCGUGCAGAUACAAUCAGCUUAAUGCUUCGAAGGCCAAGGGCUAGCUAAGCUUCAAGUUCAUGAAAUUCAGGCAAUUAACUGCAUUCAACUAAUUUUUUAACUGAAACUAUAGGAGAACAGACAAAUUAUGGAACUGUCAGGAGAUAGUUAACGGUACAAAUUUUUAUUGAUAUAUGGCCAAAAUCAAAGAAGGGUGUUGGUAACCAACAAGUCAGAGGAGACCUCAAAACAGGAGCUGCUUAGGGUGGUGUUCACAACAUUUGGAGUGAAAGAAGAAGAUAUUUUUCCUGCAGACAUGGCAAGACAAAUUCUACGAUUUUGCAGACAUGGAAGAGGACGAACUUGUGACAGGGCCAUUGAGAGUAAAAAUUACAAACUACCUGUGGUCCUCGGUGCACAGCAACUGGUGAAUGGUGGAGAGCACAUAGAGUGGAUGAGCACUGAAAAAAAGGCAGCCAGACUUCAAGAGAGUUGAGUUCUGCAUGCAGAAGACACUGGCAGACAGAAGGGCAUGGAUCAUAAAUUCUGUCCCUCGGCCAAGGAUCACUGAUGACCGACUGAAGUAUCCUUGGCUCUUUGAUGAGGAUCAGGUAAUCUAUGCAGAGUUUUCUCACCAGAUUUGGAAAUAUACUGAAUAUCCCGAGAUUGAUUGAAUGCUGACGGACGUUGAUAGAGUUGCUUACUCAAUGUUUCCCUAUUACAGUGAUUUACAGAAUGUAUUGGAAACUUCUAACUCCACAUGGAUUAUCCAAACUUGCUCAUAAACUUAAUUUAUUCAAGACUGCGUAAGGUGUGAACUUCAUAUGUGGUCCUUGUAUGUAAAAUUCAGGUUAUUUUCUUGUCAAAGCAAUAUCACCUAAACAGCUUGAGGUAUGGAUGUAAAAACUUGGUGUUUAACAUGUACCAUCAUUAGGAAGACGAUUUGAAUGGAUUUUGGAAUAUGUAGGUCAAAGGUCAAUUUGUGAAAUUUAUUUGUUUAAACACAUUGUCACCUUAACAAUUUGAAAUAUAAAUGUGAAACUUGGUGCUAACAUGUACCACUAUAGGAGAUGAUCUGGAUAUAUUUUGGAAUAUGUAGCUCGAAAGUAAAUUUGUGAAAUUCAGGUAAUAUCUUUGUUAAUGCAAUGUCACCUUAACAGUAUGAAAUAUGGAUGUAAAACCUGCUAGCAUGUAUCACUGGGAAGAGGAUGCAUUGAGUAGUGUAUGUUUCAUUGACUGUUUUUGAAAAUUUGACUCAAUGUCUCUAAUCUUCAAAUUAAAGGUCUAGUCCACCCCAGGAAAAUACUGAUUUGAAUAAAUAGAGAAAAAUCAAACUAGCAUGAAAUUUUAAAGUUUCGCUUAUUUUCAACAAAACAGUGAUAUGCACAACUAGGUGAGCCAAUGAUGUCACUCACUAUUUCUUUUGUUUUUUAUUGUUUGAAUUAUACAAUAUUUCAAUUUUUACGAAUUUGAUGAUUAGGACCUCCUUGCCUGAAGCACAAAAUGUUAAAAUAAUUGAAUUCCACGUGUUCAGGGACGAAUGAAACUUCAUUUCACAUGACAAUGACGAGAAAAUCAAAAUAUUUCAUACUUCAUAUAAUAAAAUACAAAAGAAAUAGUGGGUGAGUGAUAUCAUCAGUUCCCUCAUUUGCAUACCGACUGAGGUGUGCAUAUAAGCGUUUUGUGAAAUGAAGCAAAACUUUAAAAUGUCAUAACUUUCUUAUUUUACAUCCGAUUUUGAUGAAAUUUUCAGUGUUAUGCUUGUUGAAUUUUUCUCUUUUUAUUCAAAUCAAGUUUUUUUUUUUUUUUUUUUUUUUUGGGGGGUGGACUUGUCCUUUAAUCUUGCCAUAUCUGUGCUACCUCUGUGUGUGAAAAGUACAUUAAUUUAUUUAGUUUAUUCAGGGAUUUUUUUUUGUAUAUACAUAUAGUCUUUCUACCUUGUCUUCUCAGUCAAACCAAAUCUUAUAAGAUCAACAGCAAAAAAAAAACAGUUUUCAGGAGUAUAUGACAUCAUUCUGCAUUCCAUACUUAAUUAAGCUUGACAUAUCUGUGCUAACUCUUAAUUUAUUUAGAAUAUUUAUGAUUUUUUAUGCCUCCGCCAACGAAGUGGCCGGAGGCAUUACGUUUUCGGGUCGUCCGUACGUCCGUCCCGUUUUGUUUUGUCGAAAUCUCAAGAACCGUGGAGUGGUUUUACAUCAAACUUGGUAUGAGGGUAUAUCCUGGGGGGAUAAUACUUUGUUUUGAUUUUAUGGUCACAGGUGAAAGGUCACAGAGGUCGUUAUAUACCUUAAAAUGUCCUGUUCUUGUGAUAACUUAACCAUUGGAGCUAAUAACUUCAAACUUGGUACAUUCUUUAUAUACAUAAUAGAGGGAGAAUGAUCUGAUUGGAUUUUGGGGUCACAUGGUCAAAGGUCACAGAGGUCAGUAUGCCUUAAAAUAUCUUGUUCUUGUGUAACUAAAGGAAUGUUAGAGGAAGUAACUCCAAACUUGGUACAUAUAUGCUUGAUAUAGGGGGGGGUUGCAGGGCCAAGUUCAAAGGUCAUAUACUUACAACUUUUUUAUCCAUUUAGUAAUUUUCUUGUGUUUUAUGAAUACUAAAAAUUAUUUUCAUAUAUCAAGUUUGAUUGUAGGUCAGUGUAUGCAUGAAAUUGUUCUUGUGAUAAACCAAAGACUUCGAUAGAUCAAUUUCAAAUAUGGACAAUGCGUACAUUAUGACAUUGACUUGAGAAGUUCAAAGGUCUAAGAGUUCAUGUCUCUUGUCACAAUUGCUUGUAGAUUCAAUAUUAAUGGUUCUUGGAUGCAUAUAUGAGAGUGAUCAAUAUGAUAAUAGAAAAUAUCAAUCAAGGUUUUCCGUUGGGUAGAUUUAAUUUUAUUGAAUAAUUUUUGCCUUAUCCAAACAUAAGUGAACACCAAAUGUUCAGGCCAGCUAUGGUAGGAAUCGAACUCACGAUCUCCUGGUUACUAGACAGGCGUCAUACAACUAGACCACCAGGAAUUAAGCCCGAUGGCUAUUGGCUGCUAUUAUGUGAUAUAUCAACACAGUACUGUACCUGCUGCUAUUAUGUGAAUCAAACCAGCUACCAGCCAUCGGGCUUCUCGGUGGUCAAGUGGUAUGACGCCUGUCUGAUAACCAGAAGGUCGUGGGUUCGAUUCCUACCCGAGCCUGUAAAAAAUUUUCUUAGCAGCUCAAACAUGCACUGAACAUUCAGUGUUUAUUUAUGUUGGGAUAAGGCAUAAAUUAUUUAAUAUAAAAAGAAUAGAACAAAUUUGAAGAUUUAUGGGAAAUUACCUGUGCAACAUAUUUCUGAUCUAGUGGCAAUGGCGGAGGCAUAAAUUUCGACUGUGUGCAGUCGAGAAUCCAUCUAGUUAUUUUCUUUUGUUUUUUGUAUAAAGUCUUUCUAACAUGUCUUCUUGGCCAAAUCAGUUAUAUGAAAUCAGCAGUAAUAAAACAGUUUUCAGGAGUACAUGUAUGGUCAUUUUCACAAUAUAUGGUGUAACUCUGAAAUUUCAAUGUUUUUAUCUGUAGCAUUCUCAUAAAGCCACAUAAUUUGAAGAUGCUUUGGCAUAUGAGUGACCUCAAUGAGUGCUACCUCGGGUAGCAUAGACAUCUUCACUCAUUACUUCGUUCAAUUUUGGCAGGCACAUAAGUACCCAAAGUUGCACCUUUUUUGUGUACAUAAAAUACAUAGACUUUUUUGUAAUGCCCUGUAUUAUUUCUGGAAUGUUGAGGAUUACUUUUGGCAUGCAGAAUGUGAAGUCAGAUGUUCAAUGAAAAAUACCAGAUAGGUUUUUAGUGUGACUGCUUCUUUAUUUUUGAGAACAGGGUGGUCUAAUUUGUUGUUUCAGAGGCUUCAUUUUCCGUUAACAUUAGCUAACAAACUUUGUAUUCCGAGCAGUGGUUUAAAAAAAAAAAAAAUUCUGCUCCCUAGGACCUUUAUGCAACAUUUGAAGUAGAAACUUCCAAAUAAUAACAAAAUAUCUUUGAUCACACUUCUUUUUACAAUUUUUUCAAAGCCUAACUGAUGAAGGUAAAUUUUCCGUUAACUGUUUUGAAGCCUCCGAAACAAACUUUACAGACCGCUCAUAUAAAUAUGAACGAAGGAACUUGACCAAUCAAUACAUCACAUUGUAGUAUCUGGACACCUAGUUCACCUGUCAAUAAAUAGCAGAGAUAUUCCUUGCUGUUUGAAAAUAAGAGAUGAUACAAACUUUCCGUUAACAGUUGAAGCCUCCGAAACACUUGAAGCCUCCGAAACAGUCAAAUCACUUGUUUUGAUUUUUUUUGUUCCUUCAAUCAAAAAUUCCCAGGUUAAAUCUGUAUUGUAAUCAUAUGUUAUGUUGUAUAGACUGGCCUCAGGUAGAAAUUGUAUGUAUAUCAAUUCAAUUUUUUUCAGAACUUGCUGAUAACAUGAAAAUUCUGUUUUGGAGGCUUCAAACAUCAGUUAACACAUGUUUUUUUGUUAUUCUGAAUUCAUAGAUAAGAGAGUGUUCACAUAUUGAAUUUAUUUUGGUUGGUUUUGAUCUACUAAAGAACAGAAACAUUUCAUUUUAUGAAUUAAUCAUAUUUUUUAAGUUAUACCUGAGCUAAGUAUUUGAGAUGGUAUUUUCCACUCAUAAAACAUGCAUUUCCCUAUUUCUAACUCAGAAUAUAUAAAAAUUACACAUUAACUAAAAGAAAGAAAGUUCACACAUAUAAACCAUGUAACGUUGAUAUUGUAAUAUACAGUGGCUCAAAAUAAAGCUCUGCAUUUUCCCAAAUUAACAGGCAUCCUAAACUUAUGUUAAUACUUGUUUCGGAAGCUUCAAAGAAGAGUUAACACCGCCGGUAUUUUGUGUUAUUCCAAUGUCCUGGAUAAGAAAAAUUUGGCAUUUUUUCAACAGCACGUUUGGUUUUGAUCUCUAAAAUUACAGGAAUGAGCAUGUCUUCAUCAGAUUUUCAUAUUUUUAAUGAUAUACAAAAGAACUUGUAUUUGUGAUUCAAUUUUACAGUUGUAAACAUGUGUUACCCUCUAUCAAAUUCAGGUUUUUUUAUUGUUUAGAUACAUGCAUACUUACACACAUGCGCACAAAUAUACAAUGUAAUAUUUAGGAACAAUUUAGGAAGACUUUAAUAUACAAAUAUUUAAAAUUAAUCUUUGCAUUUUCUCAAAUAUCAAGGCAUCUGAGACAUGUACAUGUAAAUUCUCGUAUGAUUCAGAGGCUUCAUUCUCUUUUCCAUAUACCAUUAUAAGUUUUUGGCUUAAAGGAAACUUUCUUAAAUUACUUUCUGUGACAGAUGUAUUGCAAUCUGUUUGCCUUGAAGGAUUUUCAUUUCAGUUGAAUUUAUACAAAAGCUGAUCACAAUUUUGUCUCAUACUUAGAUUUCCAGGUUGUCUCUACAAAAAUAUUAAGUUUUGAAAGGUAUAUUUAGAUGCAAUUUAGAAUGUGAUUUGAUAUGAUUUGUUUAUAAAUACUUUAUGUACAGCUUACGAUGUACAGUAUGUCUUCAUUAAGAAAAAAGGUGGGAAGAAAACCAAGUGCCAAAGAUGACAAAAGAUCAAGAUGAAAGCAAAGCAUGAUUUAAAACUUAGAUAUUGAGAAAAUAACUAACUAAAUCCUUGAGAAGACUGUGUUGACAAUAAUGUCCUAUGAUUAACAAUUUUUUUUCAACUAUAAUUUGAUUAAUUUUAUGAGCUUGAGCUCUAGGUAGGUAUAGGUGGAUAGUUAGUACUUUUGCCAUAAAUAGAAUUGCCCUAACACCAUUCACUACAAGUGAUUCCAAUACCAACAAUUGUUUUGAAUUAUAAUCAUGUACAUAUAACUUACAUGUAUUGUAUGUACUUUUUUUAAACAGCUUGUUGUUGUAUAAUGCAAAGUAAAGUGCUAUUAAGUAAAUCAGAAAGUGCAGUAUCAAUAAUUGCACGUACAUGAUUGCUCAUGGCUAUGUUCCUAAACACUAAAGGCAUAUAACAAAUUAAUUGCCAACCAACUUUCUGCAUGAUAAUUUGGGAUUUUUUUUAAUAAUUGGAUUUAACAUAACAAUAAACAAGUGUUAAAAUUUAAAUAAUCUGUUAGCUAAAUGAUGGAAAAUGCAAUAUGUUAACAUGUUUGAAGUCUCCGAAACACUCUGUGAACCCUAGCAAAGCCACUGAAACACAAGUUUCGGCAUUUCAUCACUUUGUUUAUGCAUCAUAAAUAUUCUUUUCUGUAGUUAGAUGUAUUUCUAUUACUAUAUUCCCUUUAAAGCUGAAUGUUUACCUAUCUUUAGCAACAAGGCAUUGGUCUUUGUGUAAGUUAACAUUCGUGAAUUACAUUUUCCCAUUCACAAGACAUUAGUUUGUUUGAUUUUGUUUGCAUUCAGUCUUAUAACUGAUAUGCCAUAUGAAAAAGGGAGAGUUGUAAAAGUAAUCAACUUUAAUAAGGGACUUUUAUAGUGCUAACAUGACUGAAGUCUCCGAAACACAUACUUUUGUUAACUGAAGCCUCCGAAACACACUUGUGAGAAAUUUCCAACUUUCUUACUUGGUAUCUGAUUUCCAUGGGAUUUGUGUUAGUAAUAAACAUUCAUGGAGAAGUUAAUGUACAAUAAGUUUUGCUUUCCUCUUCCUCUUGGAAGACAUGUAAUUUUAAACACUUUGUUGUCAAAAUCCAAAUUUGUGAUAAACUCAUAGAAAUUUUUACAAAACUAUUAAAGUUUGAUUCCAAAACUUUUAAAAACCUCAAAGAACAUUUAAUUUGUGAAUAAAAAAUGGCAAAUGAAAAUAUUUUCCUUGAAAAAAUUUGUCAAUUUGGUAAUAAAAUCAAAAGACUGAUUUUAUUCAUUUUUUUUUUCAUUUUUCACAGUUGCACAUAAUUUUUUUCAGGUUUCUCAAGUAGAUUAAGCUCCAGAACAGACAGAAAUGAAGAAUUAAGAUAUUUAUUGACCUGUUUUUAGUAGAAAUGUUUAUGACAGUCCAUUUUGAAAUUUUGAUCGUGAAUUUUGAAAGUUACACCCUUGACCGUGAAAAGGACCGUAUACAUUCCUUACUUAGUUUAGCUUGCCAUAUCUGUGCUAACUGUUUGUGUGAAAAGUACAAAAUUUAUAAAGAAUGUAUUAAAAUUUAUGUGGGUUCUUUUAUAGAUAUGUAUUCAAACCUGCCAUGUAUAAAGACUUGCCUCUUUUGUCAGCUAACUUGGGUAAUGUUUCCAGAGCUGUACAUGUAGUACUGUAUUAGAUGUGUUUGACUUUAUUUUUAUUAAAAGUUUUCAUUGCGUUGUUCUUAA